This 506-nucleotide ribosomal RNA is filed under the name uncultured Glomus. RNAcentral's name for it is "SSU rRNA". It matches the Rfam family "Eukaryotic small subunit ribosomal RNA", at positions 569 to 1078 of the family's 1831-position model. Lineage: Eukaryota; Fungi; Glomeromycota; Glomeromycetes; Glomerales; Glomeraceae. The record is from RNAcentral.
AGCAGCCGCGGUAAUUCCAGCUCCAAUAGCGUAUAUUAAAGUUGUUGCAGUUAAAAAGCUCGUAGUUGAAUUUCGGGAUCAGUACGCUGGUCGUGCCUUUGGUAUGUACUGGUGUCACUGAUUCCUCCCUUCUGAAGAACCGUUAUGCCAUUUAUUUGGUGUGGCGGGGAAUCAGGACUGUUACUUUGAAAAAAAUUAGAGUGUUUAAAGCAGGCUCGCGCUUGAAUACAUUAGCAUGGAAUAAUGAAAUAGGACGUUUGAUUCUAUUUUGUUGGUUUCUAGGAUCGACGUAAUGAUUAAUAGGGAUAGUUGGGGGCAUUAGUAUUCAAUUGUCAGAGGUGAAAUUCUUGGAUUUAUUGAAGACUAACUACUGCGAAAGCAUUUGCCAAGGAUGUUUUCAUUAAUCAAGAACGAAAGUUAGGGGAUCGAAGACGAUCAGAUACCGUCGUAGUCUUAACCAUAAACUAUGCCGACUAGGGAUCGGAUGAUGUUAAUUUUUUAAUGUA